AUGUGAGGGCAGUCUGGCUGGGACAUCUGUUACCCCACUGAUCACCAGGACUGAUUCAGGUUAUCUGGCUAGCUAGGCGGGUGUCUCAUUCCUCCCUCACCGAU
This 104-nucleotide small nuclear RNA is filed under the name Erinaceus europaeus (western European hedgehog). RNAcentral describes it as "7SK RNA". It matches the Rfam family "7SK RNA", at positions 3 to 106 of the family's 331-position model. Rfam says of the family: 7SK was discovered as an abundant small nuclear RNA in the mid-70s but a possible function has only recently been suggested. Two independent studies have found that 7SK RNA binds the CDK9/cyclin T complex (known as elongation factor P-TEFb). The record is from Rfam by way of RNAcentral. Lineage: Eukaryota; Metazoa; Chordata; Mammalia; Eulipotyphla; Erinaceidae.